This is a long non-coding RNA of Malurus melanocephalus (red-backed fairy wren), 3471 nucleotides long. RefSeq lists it as uncharacterized. NCBI's taxonomy places the organism in Eukaryota, Metazoa, Chordata, Aves, Passeriformes, Maluridae. The transcript has 5 exons. The record is from RefSeq and is a predicted model, not a curated record.
UGCAACACUGGAACUAAGCCACUGAAAGCACAGUUCAACCUUCACAACAGGUUUCCUGAAAAGCUGCAGCAGGAACAAAAUCUGACUGUCCAAUGCAGAAUCCUAAUCUGUGGAUACAGGCUGAGUGAUGACAUUUUGCCAUAAUAAGCACUGCAUUUGGCUCCUGUGUGCUUUUACUGAGACCAAUAAAGCAACAAACGUGAUUGAAGAUUGUAAACGCCCUCAGCAACACUGAAUUGGCUCUUGUUCUGCACGACGGCCACCACACCUCAGAAUUCGGUGUCUGAAUGAUGAAGGCUGGUCUGACUCUGGGGAAGUCUGAGCCCCAAACACUUGUGAUGAAAGAAGAAAGACAAAUGACCAUCUUCAAAGGAUGGAUUAACGUGUUGCUAUUCAAAAAAAAGGAGUAAAUGGAACAUGGAUACAAAUAACUGCAAAGUGCGUAAAGCAUCAUACGAUUUAUUCAGCACGGUUGUGACAAGCACCCCUGGCUCCUGGAUUCCAUGUCCACUCUGCAAACACUCCUGGCUCCAAGAUUCACAGAGCAUUCUCCAACUUGCCUAAGUCAGUGGACUCAAUAGAGUCAGCAGAGUUGCUUGAAGAUCUCUGCUUUGUCUUCAGCCCACCUGAUCUAYAUCUGGCAAGUCUGGGAAAUUUUACUCACCUGCAAUACUUUGCCAAAUUCUUGACAAAGAAUAGAGGACAAUAAACAAAAAAAAUAGAUGGACAGAGAAUACUUGGAAUGAAUUUACUCAUGUUCAACUAAUACCUUAUGYACAUCUUAAUUAUGUGUCACAGCUGAAGGCUAGAGGUAUCUGCSCUCUGUUUCACUGUGCCUGUGAGGCUGCAGGUCUGUUCUGAGCUGUCUUAUCUUAGCAAUUCAGCCCUAGUUCACUUUCAAAGAAAAUCCUCUCUGKUUUUAUAAUGGCUAAUCCAGAUGCUUUCUAAAGAUUUUUUUGCAUGAAUGGGCAGAACCAAGGUCUKCAGAGAAAAUGACAAUGGAUUCUCAUUUAUACUAAGACUGAUGGAAGAUACAGACCUCAUCAUUUAUACAACAGCUCUGACCCAAACACUGGGAGACAUGAGUUGAAAUCAUAAUUUGGUUAAUAAAUUCAAAAUUGUCCUUUUGAACUUCAAAAUAAAUGAAAGGUAGCUUGAGUUGCAUCCUAAUGGUUUGAGCAUUCACCUGGGAGACAAAAGCACUGAAUUUUGUUUUAAUAAUCACAUUAUUCAUAAAAUAGAGAAUGAGUGAUAAUUUCCUUUCUCACAAGUUUGUACAGGUGCUUGAACUAAGAGCAGAAAGAAAAUAGAGACCAAUCAAGCGAACCCAAUACAACCACCUUGAACUUCCUUGAACCUCCAUGGCGUUAGGCCUGUGAGGUAAGAAUUACCUUCCCCCAAAGAGCUGCCCACUUAUUUAGACAAUAAAGAGGAGGUCAUCCAGUCUGCAUGGGUGCUAAAGAGCCCUUUCUCCUUUGUCUCUUAUUAAAACUGUGUCCUUAGAGGACAUAAAAUUCCAGCAUGUCGUUAUAGGAAAACAGAGGCUUCAUGCUAAGUAGAUCCUAUUGUCUUAGCAGCUGAAACUGCAGAACAAMAAAAAAAAAAACCCAACCCCCACUUCAAAAGAACAAGAUUAGAAUCACAAAGCUGAGUAUUCAAAAGCAGGGAAGUGGCAGAAUGAAGACAGCCAGAAUUGUCUUUUUAACAAUUCUGUCUGUAAGUAUAACUUUCAAUAACUGCAUGUUAUUGAAAGGUCACCAUGCUUUAUUUCUCGCAUAGCAGUGAAUAGUUACUAUUUUCAAACUGAUGAGUAGUUAUGCUUAUUUUCUUUGUAUUGUUGUAUAGAUAGCUCCAUGCCCUGAUACAAUACAUUUUGAAACUUCAGAGCAGUAGGAGGGGAUAUUAACCUCAGUUUUAUGGCUCUGGAACUAAGAUGAGAUGCAGUGUUUUCAGUAAUUUUGAAUGAUGAUUUGGAAAUAGAAGCUCAUUUUUCAGAGUUCACAAGCUUGUGCAACAUAUUAUCCAUGUGACAUGACUUCAUUUGCAAUUGUCAUUGGCUUAGUCUAUCUGAGAAUCAGAGCUUAGUGUCUCACAUUACAAUACAGAGAAAAUGAGAAACACACAAUUUUUAGUUUUCCAUAAAAAUUUUAGGUGAAAUGACUUUCCCAGAACUCCUAGUGCACAUUAUGGGAAAGCCAAAGACGGUAUCACAUUUCAAGGGUGACAGCAGGAAGGCCUGRGUCAGGCUGCAGGUGAUGAGGCUAGAGGAUCAAUACCUUGGAGACUUAACUAUUAAAAUCAGUUUCUCUUGGUCAUGAGUGAACUGUGAUUUUCAUAAUACAACCUAAAGCAUGUCCUUUCCAUAAAAAUCCCCCAGAAUCAUCUGCCAUUGCUGCAGAGCUUGUGGUGGCUGGAGAAGUUUUUAGUAUAUUGUUACUAUUGGGCAUCCUUCAGMUUUGUCCCUCAACAUUAGUGAAAGGUUUUGUUUUAAAUACAUAGUCARCUUGAGUCAAACAAUGAGCCAGGAAAAAAAAUUAUGAAUGAUAGAAUGAUAUAUAUUAAAGUUUUCUGGUAACAUUUYCAUUUCUUAGGCAUAGUGUGUGAAUUUCUUCUACUUAUACAGAGAGAAAUCUGCAUCCAACAGAAAGAUUGUCUUAUCAUUAUUUUCUUAAAAGAAAYGUGACUCUUUUCCCAUUAAAUUCCUGAUAUUGAAAAUAACCUUGAAAGUAAUACUGUUUUGCUACACCAUAGAAAACAGGUGAGUUUUUUCCAAGUAUGGAAUGACUAUGUUGCAUUUACUAAUUUCUUCAUGGCAGAGAACACAUAAGAGAUACAGAAAUCAAGUUUGUAUUGAGCUAGACAUCUCUGGCCUCUUUAUGUUGCUCCUAUUUUACACUGUUGCAGCUAUUUUAUGUURACAUAUAUGAAAGUAAAAGGAGGACUAGGAUCCUCCUCCAUGGUUUCAUUCUGUGUUUACAGAAAAUAAUGGAUGCCAACAUCAGAAGCACAUUAACCAUAAAAGUAAUUUUAUUGAAAAAUAUUCAAUAAUUUAAAAAUCAUGAGGUUUUUUUUGUCACCACAAAGCAGCUAUUAGUGUAGUCAGAUCACUGAUGCAGGCCUGAGAGAGUGCAUGUGCUGUCUGGUAAUGGUAAGCACAUUAUUAAUGCAUAAAACUUGCCUGAGUACAUAAUAGCUGUUACCUUAUAUUUAAUGCGUGUCAUUGGUAGAGARAAACACACUCUGCUUUUGAAAUAGAUAAUUUGGGUUAGCCAUCACUAUGGAAAACUGUACUGGAGGCAAAAGAAAAUCUGAUUGACCUYCAUGUCAAUAAAUGUAGUAAAGCUCAGUCUCUUCCCUGACAUGCUCUCAAAGCUGCAUCACCAGCCAGCAAUUCAGAACCACCAAGUGUACAAUUUACAUCUACAGACUGAUGGUAAUUCAGGAGCACCUGCUGUGUAUCACAGCUAAAAG